CAGCCUUAAAGCUUCCUCAAUACCCCCAAAUAACCCCCAGGCUUUAGAGCAAUUCAAAUAGGGUACAGCCUAUUUGAAAAAGGAUACAACCUGCACUAACGGGUAAUCUUCAUUUACACAACUUAGUUGGCCUAAGAGCAGCCACCAUCAAAAAGCGUCAAAGCUUAAUUUCUCCACCCCCUAAAUUCCAUAACCCAUAUCAAACCCUUACACAAUAUUGAGUACUUCUAUGCCUACAUAGAAAAUUUUAUGUUAAAACUAGUAAUAAGAAGCUUGCCUUCUCCCAAUGCAAAUGUAAGUCAGGCAGAAACCCGCACUGACAUUCAACGACCCCGAGUAGUAACCUUGCAAGAAAAUCCUACCCCCCCCCCCGUUAACCUAACACAAGAGCAUUUAAAGAAAGAUUAAAAGAAAGAGAAGGAACUCGGCAAACACUAAUCCCGCCUGUUUACCAAAAACAUCGCCACUUGCACCCUAUAAGAGGUCCAGCCUGCCCAGUGACUCUGUUCAACGGCCGCGGUAUCCUGACCGCGCGAAGGUAGCGUAAUCACUUGUCUUUUAAAUGAAGACUAGUAUGAAAGGCACCACGAGGAUUAAGCUGUCUCCUCUUUCCAAUCAAUGAAACUAAUCUCCCCGUGAAGAAGCGGGGAUUACUACAUCAGACGAGAAGACCCUAUGGAGCUUCAAACAAACAACACCUGUUACGCCACUACCCCCUCCCCGGGCCUCACCCAGUAACACCUUGUCUGUAAGUUUUGGGUUGGGGCGACCACGGAGAACAAAAUAUCCUCCAUGCUGAAACAGACUACUCCUAAAUAAAAAGUCACAUCUUUUUAAAUCAAUAAAUUGACAUCUAUUGACCCAGCACUCUGAUCAACGAACCAAGUUACCCUAGGGAUAACAGCGCAAUCUACUUCAAGAGUCCCUAUCGACAAGUAGGCUUACGACCUCGAUGUUGGAUCAGGGGAUCCUAGUGGUGCAGCAGCUACUAAAGGUUCGUUUGUUCAACGAUUAAACCCCUACGUGAUCUGAGUUCAGACCGGAGAAAUCCAGGUCGGUUUCUAUCUAUGAAGAGCUCAUUCCAGUACGAAAGGACCAAAUCAGCAUGGCCUCUGAAUUCUUUAAGCCAUAGUUAACUAUUUUUGACCCCCACUCAAUAAAUUAUAACCUU
Molecule: ribosomal RNA, 1171 nt
Filed under: Holoaden bradei (Itatiaia highland frog)
Lineage: Eukaryota; Metazoa; Chordata; Amphibia; Anura; Craugastoridae
Description: partial large subunit ribosomal RNA
Rfam family: Bacterial large subunit ribosomal RNA
Source: RNAcentral